Molecule: long non-coding RNA, 1120 nt
Filed under: Jatropha curcas
Lineage: Eukaryota; Viridiplantae; Streptophyta; Magnoliopsida; Malpighiales; Euphorbiaceae
Description: long non-coding RNA (JCUR_LNC002646)
Source: RNAcentral
ACUAAUUGACCCAAAUUUCAAAAUAUCCAAAUUCUCAGUACACAUUGUGUAAUGUACUGUGUACUAAACUUUUCCUACCAAUUUUCGAAAUACAAUUAUUCAUAUCAAGUUAUGCCAAAAACAGGAAAACAAAAUACAGCUAGAAAAUCAUAUACGCAUGAUAAUCCUCAAAUGAAAAUGCAAAGUAGAAUGGGUAUCAAUCGUUUGUUUAAACCACAUAAUAGCAAAUAAAGUAGAUAAUACAAAUCAAUGAAUCAGAUUUGAUGUAAAUCUUGUUAGCCAAAACAUAAGAACAACAUUUCAUUUCACUCACAAACCAUAGCCAAAAUGGAUUAAUAAACAAAAAGCGGUAAAAGAGUCCAAAGUUUAGAAAAUGCUUACAUAUUUCUUGCGGCCAUAGCCCUCUUCACCACCAUAACCAUAGUUCUUACGAGACUCAUCGUCAUCAACAUCGCGACUCUCAUAAGCUGGUCUCACAUACUCCUCCUCUUGCCUCCCAUAACUAGGCCUCCUUGGUGGGUCAUCUCCAUAACUCGGUCUCUCGUAUUCGGGCCUUCCUCCAUACGCUUCCUCCCCAUAACUAGGCUUCCGCCCAUAACCUUCGCCAUAUCCUGACCCACCACCUUCGUAUUCAGACUGUGGCCUACCUCCAUAUCCGGAUCCAUAUUCCGAACUAGGCCUCUCAUACCCAGGCUCAGGUCUCCUGCCAUACCCGGAUCCAUACUCCCCACCUGGUGGCCUCUCAUAUCCAGUCCCAUAUUCUGAUUCUGGCCUCCUUCCAUAGCCACCAGAUCCAUAUUCUGAAUCGGGUCUCUGGCCAUAACCAGAACCAUAUUCCUCACCGGAUGGCCUUCCGCCAUAUCCACCAGAUCCAUAAUCAGAUCCAGGCAUGGUAACUCCAGGCUGGAAACCAUAAGCAGGCUCAGGCUUAGCAUCUACAAAUACUUCUCCACCAGGAGUGUAUCCAUGAGCAGGACCGGGUCGGGGCUUGGGACGGCCAUAGCUGCUGUACUCCUCCUGGAGAUGAUCGUCGGCGUAGGCUGAUGGCUCAGCGUAGGAGGUGUAGCUGGGGCGAUCAUAGUCGAUCUCAUCGGCGGAUGAGCUGUGCGGGUAGCAUGUC